CGCACCCGUCAAGAGCCGCUGCCGCUCCGAGUGGGACUCGCGGCCGGGGGGAAUCUCAUCGGGAUCGCCGGCAAGGCCUUGGGAUCCUCUGGGAUCCGCCGGUACCCCCAUGAGCCGCGGUGUCGCCCGCAGGUCCCGGACCCCCCGCUCCGAGCAGAGGAAAUGAUUCCACCCAACACCAGCAGUGGGAGGAGAAACUGAGGCAGUACCAGGAGGCCAUGGACACCUUCCUAGGGGGGGCGCCACCCACCCAUGUGCUGUCCCUGACCAGCACCAUCCUGGUGGCCAGUCUGUCAGGAUUGUCAGGUGGACACUUGCUGGAACCUGUGCACACUGGGAGCACUGGGAGAGGACUAGUGUAUAUUGUCAGCACUCUGAUCACAUGGUGUCCACGCGUCUCCCUAGACGAUCACUGCCUAAUGCACGAGGUGACCACCAACCAAUCUCUGGCCAUCUGACCUGCAGUUAUGGAACCCAAUGGAACCAGGACUCUAAUGUGACUCAGAGAAGCUUCACUGAACCAAAAAUACCAUAGUGAGGGUAUGGAACCUCAUGGAAUCAAUGCUCCAGUGUGACACAGUGGGGCCUCACAGAGCUCAGGGGACUCUAGUGAGGUAACGGAACCUCAUGAAAACAAGGCUCUGAUGUGAUCUUGCUGGGCGUCAUGGAACUCAGAUGACGAUUGUCAGUUGAUGGAACUCAUGGAACUCGUGAAAAAGGUGUGCAUGAUGGAACCCAAUUAGGCUCCAUAAGCUAGUGAGCUUAUGGAACCUAAUUGAGCCGCAUCUCCAGUGUAUCACAGCAGGACCUCAUGGGACACAGGAGAACAUUGUGAGGUUAUUGAAUACAAUGAAAGCAGGGCUCUAACGGAACAUAGCCGAGCCUCAUGGAACGCAAGAGACCCUCAUGGAACCAAGGCUGCAGUGUGUCAAGAAGAAACUCAUGGAACCCAGGAGAGCUUUGUGAGGCUAUGGAACAAUAUGGCACCAAGGUUCUACUAUGACUUGACAGAACCUCAUGGAAGAAAGGAGCCAUUGUGAGCCUCCAGAAUCAGCAUCUGCAGGUGGAUUUUUUGCUCCCUCCUGGGAUGUUGGUGGACAAUAAAGGCUGAGGCAGCCUCCCAAGUGUCCGCCUGUGUCAUUGGUGUGGGGGAGAUUUGGGGAGACCUCCCGUCAAGCCUGGCCCUGCUGCUCCUCCUAGUUGGGUGUGAAGCUGCUGGGACACGGGGGUGGGGGGGUCCUGAUGUUCCUCCCCCUCACCCCCUACAACUUUGAAGCCAUCCUGGAGGUGAUGUUGGGCCAACUUGGGGAAGGGAAUGGGAAAAUUUGGCGGCAUUUUGGGGUGUCCCGGUGUCCCCUCCCCUCCACAUCUCACCCCUGCCAUGGCACCCUCUCGCCCGCCCUUGCCAGACCCUGCCAUGUCCCUGAAAUGCCGCUUUGGCAGAGUGCAAGGGACACAUGAUUGCCACUGUGCUGGGUCCCCCUCAGUGGCUGCCAAAGGGGGCAGGGGUGAAGGGGGGACGUCUGUGCUGGAGCACCAACGGUGCUGUUGUCACCUGCACACCUGAGCACUCGCUGGGGGCGAGUGGCAUGGACAGGCACAGGUGUGGGACAGAAGGGCUGAUGGCACUGUGCACGCUGUCCCUGCAGCCUCUCCACCAGCUGAGAAGGCAUUUAUAAUUCUGCUUAGUUUUUUUGUGAUUCUAGACUGCUUAAGUUCUCCAACUUCUAAUGUUUCUGUAAGUUCUUCCUCCCUCAUCAGCGCAGCCUUGAACAUCUAACACCACGAGCUACAGAGAGAGAGACAAAGACUCCAAGCAGAUUUAACUCUUUCUUAGCAACAUGAAGCUUCCAGAGCUUAGCCCUUCUCUACGAGAGUAAGAAAAGACAGAGUGAACAUAAAGAACAACAGCAUAAAGUCAGUAAAGCAAGAGGGAAAAAACUAUUAGGAGAGAAGGUUAAAGAGUUAGUUGUUCUAUUCUUACUUGAGCCAUAGAAAUGAACUCUAUAUUUAGAUAAUUCUUUUAAAUUCCUUUCCUCUAGGACAGAUAUGCAUUUAAGGGGAUGAUUGUUUUAAUUUAUGCGUGAAUUUAAGCAAAAGUGUUUGUGAUGAACUAAGUAAUAUCCUAUAAGAUGCUUUAACAGAGAUAAAGAUGAGAAGCCCCCUGGGCCAGUGAAGAAGUAAGAAGGUAUCUCUGUACCUUGAGGUGAAGAAUCCUUUGCUUUGGAGUUAUUCAUCUUUAAAAAGUGACACCCCAGUAUGCAAAAAUCUUAGACCCAUGACCCCUAAGCAGCUUGAGAAACUGCUCCUGGGAGGGUCACAAAAGCAGGUUUCUCUGAGCAGUUGUUUUUGUGACAGUUUAAAACCCACAAGAAAACUUUUCUAAGUUGUCAGUGGGAUCCAUGACUCUAAAAGAUACUCUUCCCCUAAUGAAUUGAUGAAAGACUAUUGUCAGAUAGUGAAACUGACUAAAAAUUACAAGUUUUGUCUCUUUAUGUUAUUUUGUAAGAAAGUGAAGAGUUUGUAAGGGAAGAGUGUUUUUGAAGUUUCAUUCCAUUUUAGGUUUUUUUUUCCAACUUUCUUUUUUUCUAUUCUUUUAGUGUAUGUUAAUAAAACGAUUUGUUAAUUUUAAAGUUAAGCUUGUUUUGUUUCUAGUCUCUCUCCCACAGAAAGAGUAAGUACCAAGACCAAAAUUUAGUGAACGUGAAACCACUACAUAAAUUAGUGUUUCCGCCCAGUUUAAAAUUAAAACUAUGACAUUGGGAUACCCUGGAUCAGUGUCAGCUGUACAAUGGUGUUACCAUCUCUUCAAAGUGGUCAUUGGAAUCUUUAUCUCCAGUCCUCAAACCUCUCUAAUUAGCUGUACAAAUGUUGAAGACUUGACAAAGGGGAAGGUAACCACUCAUUAGGCCUUUCUUCAUUUUAAUGAGCCCUGUAGUGUAUUUGAUGUUUUGAGUCCAUGGUUCUCAGAUCCUGAGAGGAGGUAGCAGCAUUCCCUCAAGAAAUCCAAGUCAGAAGAAAACCCCAAAGUGUCCUGGAAGAAGUUCCAGAUACAGUUACAGAGCUCUGCCCAGGACAGGGAAAGUUAAUUAGAAAAAAAAAACCAGGAGAAAAAGACAACUCCACCCCCAGCAGAGCUGCUCCCACCCUCAGUAGUUUCACCUGCACACAUACAGCACCUGAGACUGCAAGCAGUGACCAUUCCUCGGGCACAUGUGCAGCAAAAACAGCUUGUGGAGUGCCUUGCAGCAGGACUCUUCUCAUCCAAGUGAAAAAGCUGCCUGCUUGGCAGGCAGCUGUAGGGCUCUUGGAAAGGACAAGGACCAAAGCCUCAGCCCACAGGGAAGAAGAGGGCUCUGAAUUGCCUGCCCCUGGCACGUAAACCCUCCUUCCAGACUGCUUCCCACACAGGAUUGUUCUGAAGGACUCCAGAAAGCUGAGAGUCAGCUCUGGCUUCUCCACGUUCCAUGUCGUAAAGCUUCCUGGGAGAAGAAAUUUAGGCUCAGCUCCUGUGGCACAAUGCCACCUGGCCCAGGCCACAGCUGAGACAUUAAAUUUGAAGAAAUAGGGAAUUUAGGAAAGUUAAGAUUAUAGUUCCUGAAAUAGCUAAAGUAGGUGGAUAAGCUUUCCUAAGUUAACAGAAGCCAGAUCUUAGUUAAGCUAUCCCACAUUUAGUAACUAAUUCCUUGUCAGCUUUAUGUAGCUGUGCUUGUAAGAAAAAACCAAAAUGCGGUAAAUAAGAUAUAACUGCAGACUUCCUGCUUAAAGAACCCAUUCAACACAGGAAACUCUAAGUUCUACCAAGGAUUCAUUUAUGAUGAAUGCAUUGAAAAGGUAGAAAGGUCAGGAUGAGGAAGACUCAUUUUACUUCCUCAUUUUUGGUGACCGCUUCCCAGAAUAGAACCCUGACUCAUUUUAGGAAACAAACUACGCGUGCUUAAUGGCUAUUUUUGCCAAUUAGGAUAUGAAGCGAGGAAUGGGAGGUAACAAGGGUAUGAAUAUGCAUUUGUAUUUUGGGUAUUCAACACUUCUGUAAAUAAAAGGCUUUGUAAUUACCUUUAAAUUUCACAGCUCGUAUUAGGGAGGUAUCCUGUGUGCUGCCCAGCCAUA
Hirundo rustica (Barn swallow) is the source of this 4110-nucleotide long non-coding RNA. RefSeq lists it as uncharacterized. NCBI's taxonomy places the organism in Eukaryota, Metazoa, Chordata, Aves, Passeriformes, Hirundinidae. The transcript is spliced from 5 exons. The record is from RefSeq and is a predicted model, not a curated record.